AUGCCGCCCGACCCCGCCCCGUUCCGUGGUCGCCUCCGACCCGCCCUCUUCACUGUUGAUAUCUUGAACAGAUCCUGUCUUGAGUACAUUAAGAUUACGGGAACCACUCUUUCAGAGUCAGCUGGAUCUAAUCCAGUCUCAGUUAGUCUCCAGAACUACCAGCUCUACCGCCACCUCGAGGAUCCAGGGUGGCGGCUGAGCUGGUUUUGGGCUGGCGAUGAGGUGAUCUUGGACGCGACGGGCGCGGAGGCGACCGAGCAGGGAAACUGCACUCGCUUCGUCGGCGCUCACAGCUGCGAGAAGCGGCCUGUAAUGAUGGACCUGGGCCCCGGCACGCCGUACAACCUUCAGGUCGCCAACUGCUGCCGGGGCGGUGUCCUGUCUUCGCUCGUGCAGAACAGCAAGGCGGCCACAUCGACGUUCAGGAUGAUCGUCGGCAACUUUGCUCCUUCCAGCGACGGCGGCCCCCAGAUGCCAUUCAAUUUCAGCAUUGGGGUGCCAGGUUACACUUGCAGCAAUGCCACAGUGGUGCCCCCAUCCAGGACCCAGUUCGACAAGCAGCGGCACAUCCAGGCCUUAAUGACUUGGCAGGUCUUGUGCUUCUACUCACAGACAGUGGCGGCCCCACGGAAGUCUUGCUGCGUGUCGCUCUUCAUGUUCUACAGUAGCGUGGUCGUGGAGUGUCCGCGUUGCAUCUGCGGCGCCUGCCCAGUGACUUCCAUGGCGCCGCAGUGCAAGGGACCCAAGGCCGAGCCUGCUGCCCGAUGCACUGGGCACAUGUGCCCAAUCCAGGUGCACUGGCACAUCAAGAAGAGCUACCGGGAGUACUGGCGUGUGAAGAUGACUGUUAACAACUUCAACACGCUGAAGAACUUUAGUGACUGGAACUUCCUAGUGCAGCACCCCGGUAUGCAGAACCUGACAGAAGUUUUUAGCUUCAACCACCACCCGCUAGUCCAGUAUGGCACAAUAAACGACACAGAGCUGUUCUGGGGGCUCCCGAACUUCAACACGAUGUUGCUGCAGGACGGCUACGUGCAGUCGGAGAUCCUACUGAGGAAGGGCCAGGACUUCACCUUCGAUGCAGGUUGGGCGUUCCCGAGGAAGAUGUACUUUGACGGCGGUGAGUGCGCGAUGCCACCACCUGACGACUACCCACCGCUGCCCAGCGCCAGCUGCGAUCAGCGCCUCUCGGCAGUGCUGAGGUCACUGCUGGCGGGCCUCGUCUUGUUGUUUCUCCUGUUCUAG
Molecule: ribosomal RNA, 1248 nt
Filed under: Triticum aestivum (bread wheat)
Lineage: Eukaryota; Viridiplantae; Streptophyta; Magnoliopsida; Poales; Poaceae
Description: partial small subunit ribosomal RNA
Source: RNAcentral